UGGGGAAUUUUGGACAAUGGGCGAAAGCCUGAUCCAGCAAUGCCGCGUGUGUGAAGAAGGCCUUCGGGUUGUAAAGCACUUUUGUCCGGAAAGAAAUCCUUGGCUCUAAUACAGUCGGGGGAUGACGGUACCGGAAGAAUAAGCACCGGCUAACUACGUGCCAGCAGCCGCGGUAAUACGUAGGGUGCAAGCGUUAAUCGGAAUUACUGGGCGUAAAGCGUGCGCAGGCGGUUUGCUAAGACCGAUGUGAAAUCCCCGGGCUCAACCUGGGAACUGCAUUGGUGACUGGCAGGCUAGAGUAUGGCAGAGGGGGGUAGAAUUCCACGUGUAGCAGUGAAAUGCGUAGAGAUGUGGAGGAAUACCGAUGGCGAAGGCAGCCCCCUGGGCCAAAUACUGACGCUCAUGCACGAAAGCGUGGGGAGCAAACAGGAUUAGAUACCCUGGUAGUCCACGCCCUAAACGAUGUCAACUAGUUGUUGGGGAUUCAUUUCCUUAGUAACGUAGCUAACGGUGAAGUUGACCGCCUGGGGAGUACGGUCGCAAGAUUAAAACUUAAAGGAAUUG
This 564-nucleotide ribosomal RNA is filed under the name uncultured bacterium. Its description in RNAcentral is "partial 16S ribosomal RNA". It matches the Rfam family "Bacterial small subunit ribosomal RNA", at positions 355 to 912 of the family's 1533-position model. The record is from RNAcentral.